AACGCACAUUGCGCCCGCCGGCACUCCGGCGGGCAUGCCUGUCCGAGCGUCAUUUCAACCCUCAGGCCCCCCGUCCGCGGGGAACCGGCCUGGCGUUGGGGCCCGGGGACCGCCCAGCGGACCCCGCCCCCUAAAUCCAGUGGCGGUCGCGCCGCAGCCUCCCCUGCGUAGUAGCACACCUCGCACCGGAGAGCGGCUCGGCCACGCCGUGAAACCCCCCAAUUUCUCAAGGUUGACCUCGGAUCAGGUAGGAAUACCCGCUGAACUUAA
This 270-nucleotide unclassified non-coding RNA is filed under the name uncultured fungus. RNAcentral describes it as "partial contains 5.8S ribosomal RNA, internal transcribed spacer 2, and large subunit ribosomal RNA". The record is from RNAcentral. Lineage: Eukaryota; Fungi.